RNAcentral lists this ribosomal RNA (813 nucleotides) under uncultured Blastococcus sp. RNAcentral's name for it is "bacterial SSU rRNA". It matches the Rfam family "Bacterial small subunit ribosomal RNA", at positions 72 to 895 of the family's 1533-position model. The record is from RNAcentral. Lineage: Bacteria; Bacillati; Actinomycetota; Actinomycetes; Geodermatophilales; Geodermatophilaceae.
CCCCUCCUUCGGGAGGGUGUUCUAGCGGCGAACGGGUGAGUAACACGUGGGCAACCUGCCCUCAGCUCUGGGAUAACUCCAAGAAAUUGGGGCUAAUACCGGAUAUGACCGCUGACCGCAUGGUCUGGUGGUGGAAAGAUUUAUCGGCUGGGGAUGGGCCCGCGGCCUAUCAGCUUGUUGGUGGGGUAGUGGCCUACCAAGGCGACGACGGGUAGCCGGCCUGAGAGGGUGACCGGCCACACUGGGACUGAGACACGGCCCAGACUCCUACGGGAGGCAGCAGGGGGGAAUAUUGCGCAAUGGGCGGAAGCCUGACGCAGCGACGCCGCGUGGGGGAUGACGGCCUUCGGGUUGUAAACCUCUUUCAGCAGGGACGAAGCGAAAGUGACGGUACCUGCAGAAGAAGCACCGGCCAACUACGUGCCAGCAGCCGCGGUAAUACGUAGGGUGCAAGCGUUGUCCGGAAUUAUUGGGCGUAAAGAGCUCGUAGGCGGUUUGUUGCGUCGGCUGUGAAAUCCCGAGGCUCAACCUCGGGUCUGCAGUCGAUACGAGCAAACUAGAGUGUUGCAGGGGAGACUGGAAUUCCUGGUGUAGCGGUGAAAUGCGCAGAUAUCAGGAGGAACACCGGUGGCGAAGGCGGGUCUCUGGGCAACAACUGACGCUGAGGAGCGAAAGCGUGGGGAGCGAACAGGAUUAGAUACCCUGGUAGUCCACGCCGUAAACGUUGGGCGCUAGGUGUGGGGCUCAUUCCACGAGUUCCGUGCCGCAGCUAACGCAUUAAGCGCCCCGCCUGGGGAGUACGGCCGCAAGGCU